AAAAAACUCGUAGUUGGAUUUCUGGAGCGACCGGUCUCACACCCUGUGUGAGAACUUGUGUUGUCUCUGGCCAUCCUUGGGGAGAUCCUGUUUGGCAUUCAGUUGUCGGGCAGGGGAUACCCAUCGUUUACUGUGAAAAAAUUAGAGUGUUUAAAGCAGGCUUAUGCCGUUGAAUAUAUUAGCAUGGAAUAAUAAGAUAGGUCUUUGGUACUAUUUUGUUGGUUUGCGCACCAGAGAAAUGAUUAAUAGGGACAGUUGGGGCUAUUCGUAUUCCAUUGUCAGAGGUGAAAUUCUUGGAUUUCUGGAAGACGAACUACUGCGAAAGCAUUUAGCAAGGAUGUUUUCAUUAAUCAAGAACGAAAGUUAG
This 367-nucleotide ribosomal RNA is filed under the name Thalassiosira gravida. RNAcentral's name for it is "SSU rRNA". It matches the Rfam family "Eukaryotic small subunit ribosomal RNA", at positions 621 to 993 of the family's 1831-position model. The record is from RNAcentral. Lineage: Eukaryota; Bacillariophyta; Thalassiosirophyceae; Thalassiosirales; Thalassiosiraceae.